RNAcentral lists this non-coding RNA (45 nucleotides) under Trichobilharzia regenti. The record is from RNAcentral. Lineage: Eukaryota; Metazoa; Platyhelminthes; Trematoda; Strigeidida; Schistosomatidae.
GUAUUGCUGAAGAGUCCAAAAUAGGACGAUACAGCUGUCCAGCAC